UUUCUUUCUUUCCUUUAUUCAAAACGACGUCAUGUGAUGUUUCCCAUUUCUUUUUAUUCCAUUUGGCACGCCCAUUCAAGGCAAUAAACCCUUUCCUCUCUAGCUCUCUUCCAGACUUCGGCCACGAUUUCUUGGCUCAUUGUUAAGGAAAAAAAAAAAUUAAAGAAAGCAGGGGCUUCUAGCGUUAGGGCUCCGAUCACGUUGUGGGAUGCUUUUUUGCUUCAAUUAUAGCUAUAUUAUAUGUGCAUUUUUACUUCAAUUUUGGAAAUAUUAACUAUUGAAGGUGUGUAUUUUUUAUAUUUACUAUAUUUGGAGAUGCUUAAUUGGAGUUUGUUUUCUGCAAAUGAUGCCUAUGCACGGAGUUCUGGUCUCCGCAUUGCACUGGUAGAGGAGAGAGUGGGAGAGGAAGAAUCUAAAACCUUUUGGAGAAUCCAAGCAAAAGUGGAUGUUCUUGCAAAAAUAUUACACAAGGGUUCUUUCUUCCAGUCAAAUCGUGAUGAUCCUCAAAUGAUAAUUUUUUUCCAUUAUUAUGGUCAUCCAUUUUUGUUAAUUUAGAAAGAAUGAAAAAAGCUCUAAAGAAAAAUUGUUCACGACAGUGAAUACAUGACGAUCGAAUCAUAGAGAAGAACAAACGACGAAAAUAAUUUGUGAUUUUGUUACCUAUGGUUUGAUUUCAAUUGGGCAGUAAGAAAUGACGAUGGAGAGAAAGUUAAAGGGAAUUUGGGAAGUAGGGAUACAAAAAACAAAAGAGGAGAAAAUAAGAUCUAACAAAACCAAGAUACAAAAGGGAGGCGAAAACAAAAAAUAGUAAAGAAAGAAGAAGAAAGGACAAGUCUUGAAUGGUUGUGUGAAGACAGGAGUAAAGAGGUAUGGGAACUUGUGUGGAGAAAUGCAGAAACCCCGUCCUGUGAGAAGAAAAGUACGUAGUGCUUGAGGGGGGAAAAAUGAGAAAAAUAGUAUAUAUGACAUCAACAUGACACACAGAUGAUGCCUUAUGAAUAGUAAGAAACUUUGCUCUUUUAUAUAUUCUAGAGAUUUAGUUCACUCUUUUAUAGGAACUAGUUACUAAUUCUUGUAUUUAUAGAUUGAUCUUGUUGCUGUAAUGUAAAUGAUGAAAUCUGUAUUCUUUAGUUUCUGCUACAAAUCAAACUUUCUAUUGUUUUAUGGGAUCUUAAGAUAUCUUUACAAAGUGAAAUUUAUAUAUAGAAUAAACUUCAGCUUCAAUUUUACUUUAUAUUUACUAUUGAUCUGCUUUUAGCAAUCCCCUAUCAGUCAUCUAAUAUUUUGAUCCAUUAUGACACUACAACCAAAAAUAUUUAAGAAUGAAGCCAACCCUUGGAACUUGGUUUGCCAAACUUUCUGUCGAUAACUCUAUAUGAAGCAGAAAUAUCGUGGCUUCGAUAUUUCUCAAGAACAAAAUAUUUUAGUACAACCAAAUGCGGUGCAAAAGUGUCUUAUUGAUUCUAGCAAAAUUGGAAUUCUGUACUGUGAUGCCUACAUUAAGUCAUCAUCCAGUAAAGAAUUAGAGGUUUUGGGGCUAUGUGUUUGACUGUUUGAACCUUUUGUUUGGAUGUUCAAAUGAAAUAUUGGUGCCAUUUUGGUGUAUGUGUCAAGCUUAAAAACCAGUUAUAUAGAAAUUAGAAUAUUAUUCAACUUGGAUUGUGCUUUUCUGGAAUUCGUGGUAAAAGGAUCAAGUCGAUUGUAAUAUUUCUCUACUUGUCGAUGGUUUGGAAGGGUUUGUAAGACGUGUGCAUAUCUUUGAUCUUCAACUCUCAUGUGUAUUUUUCUUAUAAUGAAAUUAUUGUAUGAUCAAUCUUUUGACCUUUUGAUAGCAAUCAUUUCAUUAACUUUUAUCAUUUUUCUCCCGCUUUAUAAAAAAUCAAUUACUCUUGAUUUUUUAUUUAUUAUUAUUAUUUUUUGUUUAUCUCAACAUACACAAUCCUAGAGUUGCCUUUAUUACCAUUUGAAAUCUUACGCUAGGUUAAGUAACUGACAAAUUAGUAUCUGUCGAGCAGGUGAAGCGUAAGGAAUUAUUCCAUUUUGUAGAAGGAGCCAUCACAAGGUUGAAAGUCAAUGCUGAUAUUCGAGGGGACCUUAUCAUGUUGUGGAUCCCAACGUUAAUUGAAAUAUGUGCUGUAUUACAAGAGAAUUACUCAUAUUCCUCGAGUGGAAGCCUUUUUUCCCCUCAAAGAAUUUGCCUAAGGUUUAACAUAAUGAGGUCAUUCCAGGUACAAAAGUGCCAUUUUUCUCA
Molecule: long non-coding RNA, 2251 nt
Organism: Olea europaea var. sylvestris
Lineage: Eukaryota; Viridiplantae; Streptophyta; Magnoliopsida; Lamiales; Oleaceae
Exons: 2
Source: RefSeq, a predicted model, not a curated record